UAUAUUAUAGUUUAAGGUAAAAAUAUUAAAUUGCAAAUUUAAUGAUAAAAUAAAAAAUUUUUAAUGUAU
This 69-nucleotide transfer RNA is filed under the name Monomorium pharaonis (pharaoh ant). Its description in RNAcentral is "tRNA-Cys". The record is from RNAcentral. Lineage: Eukaryota; Metazoa; Arthropoda; Insecta; Hymenoptera; Formicidae.